CUACAUAUUGUGUUGUUUCUCUCUAUUAGUUAGGAAUGUAAUAACUCACUACAUGUGUGUUGUUUGUGUUUGGAUCCUAUAAUGUUCUCGAACCUUGUGUUCGUGGAAGCAGAUGGUUAGGUGGAUGAUUAUGGAGAACUUCAUGCUAGAGGAUGUUGGGAUAUCAUGCUCUAAUAAGAUGUGACAUUGAGACAUGAGUUUUUGUAUUAAUUACAUGAAGUCCUGGAUAUGUAGUUUUUAUCAUUUUUGUUUCACAUGUUGAAUCUUUAAUUCAUUAUCUGGAGUUUUGGAUGACUUUGUUUUGAG
Molecule: long non-coding RNA, 306 nt
Filed under: Glycine max (soybean)
Lineage: Eukaryota; Viridiplantae; Streptophyta; Magnoliopsida; Fabales; Fabaceae
Description: long non-coding RNA (GMAX_LNC002297)
Source: RNAcentral